AACUGUGCUCUAGUUAACAGCAAGGAAUUAGUUCACGUGCCAUCUAUCAGUCAAUUAUUAUUGUCGUAAGAAUGGAUCACCGGCAAAGAGAUUGUUAAAUUACACGUCUAUACGGGCUUCAGUCAUCAGUCAUCACGCACGCACGUACGGAAGUGCAAUUUCCUCGCGGACAACAAAAACUAACCGUGGUGAAAUCAUCAUGUUCUGCACACAAGCUACUGUUCAUCGCUAAUCAGCCGUUCAAAUUUCCAUCGCCGACACUCCAUCAGAGUACGCAACUGCAACCCUGAUAGAUGAAACAGCACACGGUUUACUAGUAUGGUAUCUUAGGAAACAAAAUCAGUGUAAUGGAGUACACCAUCAUAAAAAUAACUAAGCAGAAAACAACAGGGUAAUAAAGAAAUCAAUAAGAACCGAUUACCUUGCUGACGCCGUCAAACAUGCGAAACCACGAACCCGCAUACUGGCCAGCUUUGUCUUCAGCCUGUGAAAUAUGGAGCACCCACUAUUUUAGCAUAUAUAGAGAGAGGGGCCAAUCAGCAUUUUCGUUAAACUGAGUCAAAGAUUUGCCUCGUCGAUUAAUUAAGCAGAUGCCCACUUAAUUAAUGAAAAACCAGAAAAAAAACUGACACAAACCAAUCACAUGCGGACUACUCAUAAAGCAUGCAACCCCAGAAGUGCACGAUCAGCCCUACACCCAUACCCAACACGCAGUGACAAUCAAUCCCCACACUACUACACCGCAAGGAAACCCCUAACAAAAGUGCCUACCCUGAAGACCACCAACCAGAUUCACGGAGACAAGCCAGGCCAUAAAGACCGUCCAAGAUACUGAUGGCCAUCCAUCAAGCAGCUACGAACGCCUUUGAUGUGGAGCCACCCUUCUUGCUUUUCCUCCUAAGGGCUUUCUCCACAAUCGUCUUGUCACAUCCAGGGCUGGCUACCUCCAAACGUGUGAGCAAGCUGCCAAGCUGUAUCUCAAAGAGGAUGUCAUCAACCUUGUCCCUCACAAACACCACUGCAAUAACAUCCUCUGCCACGGGUACCACCGACACGACGGACUCAAGCGCCUCCUGUUGCUCACAUGGCAGAGGCGAACCCGUCAGUUGCGCCUAAGAAUUAGGUGCCAACUCACGUACCUCGUCACCCACCGACACC
Molecule: long non-coding RNA, 1158 nt
Filed under: Triticum aestivum (bread wheat)
Lineage: Eukaryota; Viridiplantae; Streptophyta; Magnoliopsida; Poales; Poaceae
Description: long non-coding RNA (TAES_LNC017108)
Source: RNAcentral